This 81-nucleotide small nucleolar RNA is filed under the name Puccinia sorghi. The record is from RNAcentral. Lineage: Eukaryota; Fungi; Basidiomycota; Pucciniomycetes; Pucciniales; Pucciniaceae.
CAUUGUCCAGAUUAAGCCCCUUGUUGAAGACCAUUCAGAACAUAAUAUUAUGUUCUGAAUGGUCUUCAACAAGGGGCUUAA